Thunnus maccoyii (southern bluefin tuna) is the source of this 3307-nucleotide long non-coding RNA. RefSeq lists it as uncharacterized. NCBI's taxonomy places the organism in Eukaryota, Metazoa, Chordata, Actinopteri, Scombriformes, Scombridae. The record is from RefSeq and is a predicted model, not a curated record. The transcript has 2 exons.
CUGUCACAAAGCAAGCUGAACGCUGAAGCUGAACCCUUGCAGCUAUUUUGGCACAAAGUCAAAAGGCUGAUAAGCAUUUUUGGGUGAGACUACGCUGCUUUUCCUCGAGGAAAAACAGCUGCCACUCGCUCAGUGACGUGCAUUCAACAGUUCCGAGAAAAUUUCGAGAGAAACCCCAAGAGAUGCUGAUUUGUCCUGUUUAAAAUGGAGGAGGGAUAAAAAAGAAAACAUGACGGUCUAAACAAUUUGUUCAGACCGAAUCCAUGCGCUGAGCGUAAACCGGACAGCGAGAGAAGUAGAGGGAGAGACCUAAACAGCAUGGCUGUUGCCACCAUCUUAGAUUGUAUUGAUUAUUCUUUGCUGUAACGUCUGUCUCUCUCACACACGCUAGCUCUCUUUCUCUCCCUUUCUGUCCCUCCCUCCCUCUUUCUGCCUCUGUUCUGCCACCUCUACUCGGCGAUCAGCAUUUGGCUUUUUCCAUUUGUGGCAGAUUACUGUAACGCUAUUGUACAACAACUUCCUGCCUCUUUUGGCUCUGGUUCUAAAAACUGCAAAGGCAGAGCUCGUGGCUUUAAACUUUUUCCCCUCGGCCUUGAACUACAGGAACUCUAUAAGGAAAGAAAGGGAGGAAGGAGAUAUGUAAAGUGUAUCUGUUACUGAGGAACUAUUUUUAUUGCAUUUCUGCUUUAUAAACUGCUGAGAAUUAAAGAGGGCAAGAGGGGACUACAUGCCUAGCAGAGACAAUGAAAGAAAAAAAAGGAUUCUGAAAGAAGAAGAGGAGAAAAAGAGAGACAGAGAGAAAAAGAGCAAGGGAGAGCUUCUCCUGGGAACAAGCUGGAAAUUAUGGACCUAUUCGAUAUCAGACCUCAGAGUGGACAACCUAUCCAAAGAGGGACGCGCCCUAACUGUAACUAACAACUACUUCUGGCAGCCCCUCAACAGCCAAACAUAUUGUCCUGGAUCAGGGCAGCUUUCGUAUGGCAGCAUUCAACUAGGGCAGCUUAGGCAAGAAAUCCACAUUAAACUACAGAAUCGAUAAUGAUAUUAAAAUGCUGAUAACAAUUCACAAAAUUUACACUGAAUGUGCUUAUUUAUGAGAUAUAGGAUAUUAGAUGGAGCUGUAAACUAUGAGCUCUUCAAGAUUUCUCUCAUCAAACUUGCAUAUAAAGCAGACUACAUAAAAUUAUAGCUUAUACGAGGAUUUUCACACCUUGAACCAGCUGAGACAUUAAGUCAGUGCAGAUUAUUUAUUUAACAUAAAUAUUAUAACGUAAAUGUUUUCGAGAUUUUUUUUACUCCUGUGGUAUUCUACGACCCGAAAUCAGACGCUGAUACUGACAUAACCUCACUAUCUAAGUCUGAAGAUCUAAGUUUUCAAUCGAGGCUCUGUGACAUAACUACAUUAUACCAGAAGUAAACAGAAGUAUGUUAUAAAUUAAUAUAUCAGAUGAGAUUAAUUAUAAUACUAAAUUAUCUAAUGAUUAAAGAUUAAUUGAACUCCUUUAAAUAGAGUGACUAUUUAUUAAUUGUAAUACCCAUGUUAUUGUCAUCACAAGAGAUAUUUCAAUGUAAUAAAAAUGUUAUAUUAUUUUAGCUACAAAGAUGUUAUGUGGUGUUACCUACACCACACUGAAAAUACUCAUAUAAGGCACUAAGUUAACUGAAGUACCGGGACAAAUUCUCAAAAGUCAAUGACGCGUAAUAAUAAAAAAGUAAAUUCUCCUUUUCUGUCCACUUGACCAGCCUGCGCCGGGCUUCUACAUACCUGAGCUCCCCCUUUGCAGUUUUCCCCUGAGGGCUGCUAAUACCUACUUUAAACAGCCUUGGCCAUUUUGUUUUAUUCUUCCUCAACACUAAGCCAGGAGUGCACAGGCCUGGCAUUUUAGGGGCCACGUCACAACGCCUGUGUCUGCGCCGCAGGGCUGCAAGGAGUCCAGCAGCAGAGCCAUACGCACUCAGUGGUUCACUGCCUCAACAAACACUUUAAGCGUGCUGUUUUGUUAUCUUACACGCUCUCUCUAGCAUCCUUGCUCUACUGAGAACAGCAAAACACGCACCUAAUACGCUUUAUCCAUUUCAUAAACAUGCUCUCCACCUGGUGCCUUCUCCAACACAGAGCCACUGAGCCUUCAGCUCCUGAAUCACUUCAUACACUUCACUUUCUCUCUUCUGGUUACCACAGUAAAGUUAGCUCUGUUGCAAAAUAGCUUUGAGCAAAGACAACAGACAAGGUUGGAAAUAUUCUAGAUACACAUCCAAUUCAUGGUCAGUGCCAUUUAAUGAGGUUGAUAACUGCCUCUAUCUUUCUGCACAAUAAAUGUGGAAUCUAUUUAAAGGGGGAAACAAUACUGAUAUUGAUUUGAAAGUGACAAUGAUCAAAACACUGAUUAGAUAAAUUCCACUUGGUCUGACAGACUGUAAUUGAUGUGCAUAAUGUUAUUAGCAGAACGAUAUUUAGAAAAGCAAACGCUUCAUAGGACAGCUGCAUAAACAGAGGUUUUAUUACUCCAUGGGCUAUUUUAGUGGCUCUUUCAAUUCCAGUAAAAUAUUAUUUUUAAGAGGAGCAAAAUAAUAUGUGUUUAAGACAUGCUUCAAAUUACAAAGAAAACAAAGAUAGUGCCAACACUAUGCAUGUCCAAAAGUGUACAUUGCACAAAUGUAUUAUUAUAUUAAAUGCAUUAGUUCCUACACUGUCCUUAAGCUUUUCCUGUGCUUCUGUCCAUAUUUCAGUACAUGGUUAUCUGAGGACAUACUGUAAAGGGACAUUACACAGUACAGUAUAUAACACAGGACAGUAUAUAGAAGUCCAUUUCUGCGUUCUGAGACAAUAACUAGCUGGUGACUUUAAAUAGACAUCGGUUUAUACAAAUAUAAAGAUUUGUUCCAUUACUCUGUAUUAUGUUUGUGACCCUUUGACGAGCAAGUCGGCACCAAAAAAAGCUCGAUCAUCCGAGGACAUUCAGAUUUCACAAAGGAAUUGUUUCUGAAAACCCGAAACUUAUACGGAUAUACGCACAUUCUUUCAGGUAUUCCUGUGUGUUGACAGUCGGUUGAUUGAUGUGUUUAAAACAGAGGUUUGUAUCUAUGGUACAUUGGGUUGCUCCAACAGGUUAUAACAGAUACACUAAGCUACUGGGUACAGAAAAUAAAUAUGCAAAUGGAAUUCUUUUAAUGUUUUAAGUUGUCUGUUCUCAUUCUUGUGUAAAUGUGCAAUAACUUCUCACCUGGAAAUGUUCAAAGUUUGUGUUUUAUAUAAAGCCGUUUGAGCUGCCUUUAAUGUGAAGUGUGUGAUAAAAAUGUUUUUUUU